This 651-nucleotide long non-coding RNA is filed under the name Elaeis guineensis (African oil palm). RNAcentral describes it as "long non-coding RNA (EGUI_LNC034463)". Lineage: Eukaryota; Viridiplantae; Streptophyta; Magnoliopsida; Arecales; Arecaceae. The record is from RNAcentral.
UCUCUCUUUUCGAAAGUAUAGAAAGUUUGCAUCAAAAAUAAUACUUUUCUUCUUUGUAAAUUCAAUUAAGCAAUAUAGACUUGAUAAUACUCCUCUUCUUUUUGAACAAUAUAGAUUCAAAAACACUUCUCCCCCUUUUUGAAUAAUAUAGAUGAAACAAGUGAGUUCUUAAGUUCAGUUAGAGAAUAGCUUUGAGCUUUAAAAAAAAAGUGAGAUAGAACUUUUCAGUACUAAGAAUUUUGAGUAUCAAAAUUAAGUAUAAGAUAUAAUUAAUUUUUUAAAAACUCAUAUCUUCCUUUUCUUAAUAAAUAUCAAUUAAUUAAGUUUAGAAAAUGCAUCAAUUUCCUUAGUUUAUCUCAAAUAAUAUGAUAUCGAGAAUGUAUCAGAGCAAAAUAAACUUGAGAUAAUUUUUUUCUUUUUUUCCAAGAAAUAAAGAAAUAGAGUAUAAGACAAUAAUAAUCUGUCUUAUACCAAUUAUGAAAAUUGUGAUAUCAAUUGUGACAAUUUGUUUAAAAAUUUUCUCUUAAUAUCAAUUAUUUUGAAAUUCAAACCAAAUAAUAAUUUUUUUAUAAUUUUUUCUUGAUACUGAUUUUAAAAGAUUUAGAAAGAACAGUUUUCAAAUUUAUUGCUCGAAAAUAUUCCAAUGGAGCA